GACGAACGCUGUCGGCGUGCUUAACACAUGCAAGUCGAACGGAAAGGCCCUGCUUUUGUGGGGUGCUCGAGUGGCGAACGGGCGAGUAACACGUGAGUAACCUGCCCUUGACUUUGGGAUAACUUCAGGAAACUGGGGCUAAUACCGGAUAGCAGCCCCUGCUGCAUGGUGGGAGUUGGACAUUUUCGGCGGUUGGGGAUGGACUCCCGGGUUAUCAGCUUGUUUGUGUGGUAGUGGCUUACCAAGGCUUUUACGGGUAGCCGGCCUGAGAGGGUGACCGGCCACAUUGGGACUGAGAUACGGCCCAGACUCCUACGGGAGGCAGAAGUGUGGAAUAUUGCACAAUGGGCGGAAGCCUGAUGCAGCAACGCCGCGUGCGGGAUGACGGCCUUCGGGUUGUAAACCGCUUUCGCCUGUGACGAAGCGUGAGUGACGGUAAUGUGUAAAGAAGCACCGGAUAACUACGUG
Molecule: ribosomal RNA, 468 nt
Filed under: uncultured bacterium
Lineage: Bacteria
Description: partial 16S ribosomal RNA
Rfam family: Bacterial small subunit ribosomal RNA
Source: RNAcentral